AGAACGAACGCUGGCGGCAUGCCUAAUACAUGCAAGUCGAACGAACUCUUCGGAGUUAGUGGCGCACGGGUGCGUAACGCGUGGGAAUCUGCCCCUUGGUUCGGAAUAACAGUUGGAAACGACUGCUAAUACCGGAUGAUGACGAAAGUCCAAAGACUUAUCGCCAAGGGAUGAGCCCGCGUAGGAUUAGCUAGUUGGUGAGGUAAAGGCUCACCAAGGCAACGAUCCUUAGCUGGUCUGAGAGGAUGAUCAGCCACACUGGGACUGAGACACGGCCCAGACUCCUACGGGAGGCAGCAGUAGGGAAUAUUGGACAAUGGGCGAAAGCCUGAUCCAGCAAUGCCGCGUGAGUGAGUGAAGGUCCUUAGGUUGUAAAGCUUCUUUACCGAGAUGAUAAUGACAGUAUCGGAA
RNAcentral lists this ribosomal RNA (411 nucleotides) under uncultured soil bacterium. Its description in RNAcentral is "bacterial SSU rRNA". It matches the Rfam family "Bacterial small subunit ribosomal RNA", at positions 26 to 483 of the family's 1533-position model. The record is from RNAcentral.